This 835-nucleotide ribosomal RNA is filed under the name uncultured beta proteobacterium. RNAcentral describes it as "bacterial SSU rRNA". It matches the Rfam family "Bacterial small subunit ribosomal RNA", at positions 49 to 880 of the family's 1533-position model. Lineage: Bacteria; Pseudomonadati; Pseudomonadota; Betaproteobacteria. The record is from RNAcentral.
UUACACAUGCAAGUCGAACGGUGAGGGAGUAACCUCGUUGAGAGUGCCGAACGGGUGAGUAAUAUAUCGGAACGUGCCCAGACCUGGGGGAUAACGUAGUGAAAAUUACGCUAAUACCGCAUACAAUCUAAGGAUGAAAGCGGGGGACUCGCGAGAACCUCGCGCGACUGGUAGCGGCCGAUAUCAGAUUAUGUAGUUGGCGGGGUAAAGGCUCACCAAGCCAACGAUCUGUAGCUGGUCUGAGAGGACGACCAGCCACACUGGAACUGAGACACGGUCCACAUCUCCUACGAGGAGGCAGCAGUGGGGAAUUUUGGACAAUGGACGCAAGUCUGAUCCAGCCAUUCCGCGUGCAGGAUGAAGGCCCUCGGGUUGUAAACUGCUUUUGUACUGAACGAAAAGGUCUCUCCUAAUACGAGAGGCUCAUGACGGUACCGUAAGAAUAAGCACCGGCUAACUACGUGCCACCAGCCGCGGUAAUACGUAGGGUGCAAGCGUUAAUCGGAAUUACUGGGUGUAAAGCGUGCGCACGCGGUUAUGUAAGACAGAUGUGAAAUCCCCGGGCUCAACCUGUGAACUGCAUUUGUGACUGUAUAGCUAGACUACCGUAGACGGGGAUAGAAUUCCGCGUGUAACAGUGAAAUGCGUAGAUAUGCGGAGGAACACCGAUGGCCAAGGCAAUCACCUGGACCUGUACUGACGCUCAUGCACUAAAGCGUGGGGAGCAAACAGGAUUAGAUACCCUGGUAGUCUGCGCCCUAAACGAUGUCAACUGGUUGUUGGGUCUUAACUGACUCAGCAACGAGCUAACGCGAGAAGUUGACCGCCUGGACAG